GACAGAGGGGGCAAGCGUUGCUCGGAAUCACUGGGCGUAAAGGGCGCGUAGGCGGGAUGGCAAGUCAGUCGUGAAAUCUCUCGGCUCAACCGAGAAACGUCGGCUGAUACUGCCGUUCUUGAGGGAUGCAGAGGAGACUGGAAUUCCCGGUGUAGCGGUGAAAUGUGUAGAGAUCGGGAGGAACACCGGUGGCGAAGGCGGGUCUCUGGGCAUUUUCCUGACGCUGAGGCGCGAAAGCGUGGGGAGCAAACGGG
RNAcentral lists this ribosomal RNA (254 nucleotides) under uncultured bacterium. RNAcentral's name for it is "partial 16S ribosomal RNA". It matches the Rfam family "Bacterial small subunit ribosomal RNA", at positions 524 to 776 of the family's 1533-position model. The record is from RNAcentral.